GAAAUGCGAUAAGUAGUGUGAAUUGCAGAAUUCAGUGAAUCAUCGAAUCUUUGAACGCACAUUGCGCCCUUUGGUAUUCCUUAGGGCAUGCCUGUUCGAGCGUCAUUCAAACCUUCAAGCUCUGCUUGGUGUUGGGUGUCUGUCCCGCCCCCGGGCGCGGACUCGCCUCAAAUUCAUUGGCGGCCGGUACGUUGGCUUCGAGCGCAGCAGAAACGCGAACUCGAUCCCGGCGGGUCGGCUCCCAGAAGCUAUACUCAAUGAUUUUGACCUCGGAUCAGGUAGGGAUACCCGCUGAACUUAA
Molecule: unclassified non-coding RNA, 301 nt
Filed under: uncultured Preussia
Lineage: Eukaryota; Fungi; Ascomycota; Dothideomycetes; Pleosporales; Sporormiaceae
Description: sequence contains ITS1
Rfam family: 5.8S ribosomal RNA (bases 1-105)
Source: RNAcentral